UCCAGACUCCUACGGGAGGCAGCAGUGGGGGAUAUUGCACAAUGGGGGGAACCCUGAUGCAGCGACGCCGCGUGGGUGAAGGAGCGUUUCGGCGCGUAAAGCCCUAUCGGCAGGGAAGAAGGAGGACGGUACCUGACUAAGAAGCCCCGGCUAACUACGUGCCAGCAGCCGCGGUAAUACGUAGGGGGCAAGCGUUAUCCGGAUUUACUGGGUGUAAAGGGGGCGCAGACGGCAGCGCAAGCCAGGAGUGAAAGCCCGGGGCCCAACCCCGGGACUGCUCUUGGAACUGCGCGGCUGGAGUGCAGGAGGGGCAGGCGGAAUUCCUGGUGUAGCGGUGAAAUGCGUAGAUAUCAGGAGGAACACCGGUGGCGAAGGCGGCCUGCUGGACUGCGACUGACGUUGAGGCCCGAAAGCGUGGGGAGCAAACAGGAUUAGAUACCCCAGUAAAC
RNAcentral lists this ribosomal RNA (449 nucleotides) under uncultured bacterium. Its description in RNAcentral is "partial 16S ribosomal RNA". It matches the Rfam family "Bacterial small subunit ribosomal RNA", at positions 330 to 795 of the family's 1533-position model. The record is from RNAcentral.